This 910-nucleotide ribosomal RNA is filed under the name uncultured Actinomycetes bacterium. Its description in RNAcentral is "SSU rRNA". It matches the Rfam family "Bacterial small subunit ribosomal RNA", at positions 481 to 1391 of the family's 1533-position model. The record is from RNAcentral. Lineage: Bacteria; Bacillati; Actinomycetota; Actinomycetes.
UAUUUGUAAGGUCCGGCUAACUACGUGCCAGCAGCCGCGGUAAUACGUAGGGUGCAAGCGUUGUCCGGAAUUAUUGGGCGUAAAGAGCUCGUAGGCGGUCUGUCGCGUCGGCUGUGAAAACUCGGGGCUCAACCCCGAGCCUGCAGUCGAUACGGGCAGACUAGAGUGCUGUAGGGGAGACUGGAAUUCCUGGUGUAGCGGUGAAAUGCGCAGAUAUCAGGAGGAACACCGGUGGCGAAGGCGGGUCUCUGGGCAGUAACUGACGCUGAGGAGCGAAAGCGUGGGGAGCGAACAGGAUUAGAUACCCUGGUAGUCCACGCCGUAACGGUGGGUGCUAGGUGUGAGCGGUAUUCCACGCCGUUCGUGCCGCAGCUAACGCAUUAAGCACCCCGCCUGGGGAGUACGGCCGCAAGGCUAAAACUCAAAGGAAUUGACGGGGGCCCGCACAAGCAGCGGAGCAUGUGGCUUAAUUCGACGCAACGCGAAGAACCUUACCAAGGCUUGACAUGCAGGGAAAUCCUCCAGAGAUGGUGGGUCCGCAAGGGUCCUGCACAGGUGGUGCAUGGUUGUCGUCAGCUCGUGUCGUGAGAUGUUGGGUUAAGUCCCGCAACGAGCGCAACCCUCGUUCUAUGUUGCCAGCGCGUGAUGGCGGGGACUCAUAGGAGACUGCCGGGGUCAACUCGGAGGAAGGUGGGGAUGACGUCAAAUCAUCAUGCCCCUUAUGUCUUGGGCUGCACACAUGCUACAAUGGCCGGUACAAAGGGCUGCUAAACCGCGAGGUGGAGCGAAUCCCAAAAAGCCGGUCUCAGUUCGGAUUGGGGUCUGCAACUCGAGCCCAUGAAGUCGGAGUUGCUAGUAAUCGCAGAUCAGCAACGCUGCGGUGAAUACGUUCCCGGGCCUUGUACACACC